RNAcentral lists this long non-coding RNA (431 nucleotides) under Rosa chinensis. Its description in RNAcentral is "sRNA RchiOBHm_Chr7g0243661". The record is from RNAcentral. Lineage: Eukaryota; Viridiplantae; Streptophyta; Magnoliopsida; Rosales; Rosaceae.
GCCGGCGAAGCGAGGGUGCCAACCAGCAGCGAACCAAGAACACGACCCCAGCGGCAAACUUUGUGCGCGACCUUAACGGCUAACCAAGCGCGAGACCCAGGUGGAGAAAUGAAGCCUUUGACUGCCGAGGAAUUGGAGCAGUACGAGUCCGUUUCGAAGUCCUCCGACUCUGACUCCGACGACGGCCUCGAAGAUGAGAAAGAGGAAAGCGACGAAGACGAGGAUGACGACGACGACGAUGAGGAUGAAGAUGACGAGGACGAUGUCCAGGAGGUCGUGCAGUCCUUCGGUGGCCCUCCGGUUCAGUCAAUAAACGAUGAGGACGACGAAGAAGACGAGGAAGACACUGAAGGAGGCGAUGACGACAACGACAACGACAACGGCGAGGGAGAUGACGACGACGACGAGGGCGAGGAUGAGGUAAUUAGCCG